Small nuclear RNA from Tigriopus californicus, 110 nucleotides. RefSeq annotates it as U5 spliceosomal RNA. The transcript has a single exon. The record is from RefSeq and is a predicted model, not a curated record. NCBI's taxonomy places the organism in Eukaryota, Metazoa, Arthropoda, Copepoda, Harpacticoida, Harpacticidae.
AUGUUGCGAGUUCAGCACAAUCAAAGAUAUCUUUCUUCAUUUAAUAAAGGUGUCCGUGUGCGGGAUUAAAAUGUAAUCUAACCUCGUUUUGGAAGACCCAACUUGGGUCA